Molecule: ribosomal RNA, 406 nt
Filed under: Enterococcus casseliflavus
Lineage: Bacteria; Bacillati; Bacillota; Bacilli; Lactobacillales; Enterococcaceae
Description: bacterial SSU rRNA
Rfam family: Bacterial small subunit ribosomal RNA
Source: RNAcentral
GACGAACGCUGGCGGCGUGCCUAAUACAUGCAAGUCGAACGCUUUUUCUUUCACCGGAGCUUGCUCCACCGAAAGAAAAAGAGUGGCGAACGGGUGAGUAACACGUGGGUAACCUGCCCAUCAGAAGGGGAUAACACUUGGAAACAGGUGCUAAUACCGUAUAACACUAUUUUCCGCAUGGAAGAAAGUUGAAAGGCGCUUUUGCGUCACUGAUGGAUGGACCCGCAGUGCAUUAGCUAGUUGGUGAGGUAACGGCUCACCAAGGCAACGAUGCAUAGCCGACCUGAGAGGGUGAUCGGCCACACUGGGACUGAGACACGGCCCAGACUCCUACGGGAGGCAGCAGUAGGGAAUCUUCGGCAAUGGACGAAAGUCUGACCGAGCAACGCCGCGUGAGUGAAAGAAG